GCAAACGCUGCCACCAAGCACUGCAAGAAGGCCAUGAAGAUGGGUCUUUCUCUCUUCUGCAGAACCUUCAAUUCUUCUAAAUGCAAGACAAUGGCAAAAAUGACGGUGGCGAGAAUAAAAUUGCUGAGAAACAAGAGGGAGGUGGUUGUGCGGCAAAUGAGGAGAGACAUUGCUAUGCUUCUUGAAUCCCAUCAGGAUGCCACUGCUCGUAUUAGGGUCGAACAUGUAAUAAGAGAACAAAAUAUAUUACAAGCAAAUGAGAUCCUCGAGCUCUUCUGUGAACUUAUUGUGGCUAGGUUAACAAUUAUUGCAAAGCAAAAGCAAUGUCCAGCUGAUUUGAA
Molecule: unclassified non-coding RNA, 341 nt
Filed under: Hevea brasiliensis (rubber tree)
Lineage: Eukaryota; Viridiplantae; Streptophyta; Magnoliopsida; Malpighiales; Euphorbiaceae
Source: RNAcentral